GACGAACGCUGGCGGCGUGCUUAACACAUGCAAGUCGAACGGAAAGGCCCUGCUUUUGUGGGGUGCUCGAGUGGCGAACGGGUGAGUAACACGUGAGUAACCUGCCCUUGACUUUGGGAUAACUUCAGGAAACUGGGGCUAAUACCGUAUAGGAGCUCCUGCUGCAUGGAGGGGGGUGGAAAGUUUCGGCGGUUGGGGAUGGACGCGCGGCUUAUCAGCUUGUUGGUUGGGUAGUGGCUUACCAAGGCUUUGACGGGUAGCCGGCCUGAGAGGGUGACCGGCCACAUUGGGACUGAGAUACGGACCAGACUCCUACGGGAGGCAGCAGUGGGGAAUAUUGCACAAUGGGCGGAAGCCUGAUGCAGCAACGCCGCGUGCGGGAUGACGGCCUUCGGGUUGUAAACCGCUUUCGCCUGUGACGAAGCGUGAGUGACGGUAAUGGGUAAAGAAGCACCGGCUAACUACGUG
This 468-nucleotide ribosomal RNA is filed under the name uncultured bacterium. RNAcentral describes it as "partial 16S ribosomal RNA". It matches the Rfam family "Bacterial small subunit ribosomal RNA", at positions 28 to 507 of the family's 1533-position model. The record is from RNAcentral.